RNAcentral lists this ribosomal RNA (207 nucleotides) under Salmonella enterica subsp. enterica serovar Oranienburg. RNAcentral describes it as "partial 16S ribosomal RNA". It matches the Rfam family "Bacterial small subunit ribosomal RNA", at positions 1 to 213 of the family's 1533-position model. Lineage: Bacteria; Pseudomonadati; Pseudomonadota; Gammaproteobacteria; Enterobacterales; Enterobacteriaceae. The record is from RNAcentral.
UUAAAUUGAAGAGUUUGAUCAUGGCUCAGAUUGAACGCUGGCGGCAGGCCUAACACAUGCAAGUCGAACGGUAACAGGAAGCAGCUUGCUGCUUUGCUGACGAGUGGCGGACGGGUGAGUAAUGUCUGGGAAACUGCCUGAUGGAGGGGGAUAACUACUGGAAACGGUGGCUAAUACCGCAUAAUGUCGCAAGACCAAAGAGGGGGA